ACUCCUACGGGAGGCAGCAGUAGGGAAUAUUGGUCAAUGGGCGAAAGCCUGAACCAGCCAUGCCGCGUGUCAGAUGAAGGUCCUCUGGAUUGUAAAAUGACUUUUCUACGGGAAGAAUGAGCCGUCUGCGGACGGAAGUUGACGGUACCGUAGGAAUAAGCACCGGCUAACUACGUGCCAGCAGCCGCGGUAAUACGUAGGGGUGCAAGCGUUGUCCGGAUUUACUGGGGUUUAAAGGGUACGUAGGCGGUUGUGCCAAGUCUGGGGUGAAAGUUUGCAGCUCAACUGUAAAAUUGCCUUGGAUACUGGUCGGCUAGAGUAGUGGAGCGGUGGCUGGAAUUUAUAGUGUAGCGGUGAAAUGCUUAGAUACUAUGAGGAACACCAAUUGCGAAGGCAGGUCACUGGUCACUAACUGACGCUGAGGUACGAAGUGUGGGAUCAAACAGGAUUAGAUACCCGU
RNAcentral lists this ribosomal RNA (460 nucleotides) under uncultured bacterium. RNAcentral's name for it is "bacterial SSU rRNA". It matches the Rfam family "Bacterial small subunit ribosomal RNA", at positions 335 to 789 of the family's 1533-position model. The record is from RNAcentral.